GAUGAACGCUGGCGGCGCGCCUAACACAUGCAAGUCGAACGGUUAAAGCACCUUUUAGGUGUGUAUAAAGUGGCGAACGGCUGAGUAACACGUGGGCAACCUGCCCUCCUCUUGGGGAUAGCCUCGGGAAACCGAGGAUAAUACCCGAUACUUCAAUGUGGCCGCAUGACGACAUUGAGAAAGCUUUUGCGGAGAAGGAUGGGCCCGCGGCCUGUUAGCUUGUUGGUGGGGUAGAGGCCUACCAAGGCAAUGAUGGGUAGCUGGGUUGAGAGACCGACCAGCCAGAUUGGGACUGAGACACGGCCCAGACUCCUACGGGAGGCAGCAGUGGGGAAUCGUGCACAAUGGGCGAAAGCCUGAUGCAGCGACGCCGCGUGCGGGACGAAGGCCUUCGGGUUGUAAACCGCUUUCAGCAGGGACGAGGCGAUAAGUGACGGUACCUGCAGAAGAAGCCCCGGCUAACUACGUG
RNAcentral lists this ribosomal RNA (469 nucleotides) under uncultured bacterium. RNAcentral's name for it is "partial 16S ribosomal RNA". It matches the Rfam family "Bacterial small subunit ribosomal RNA", at positions 28 to 507 of the family's 1533-position model. The record is from RNAcentral.